This 254-nucleotide ribosomal RNA is filed under the name uncultured bacterium. RNAcentral describes it as "partial 16S ribosomal RNA". It matches the Rfam family "Bacterial small subunit ribosomal RNA", at positions 524 to 776 of the family's 1533-position model. The record is from RNAcentral.
UACGAGGGGGGCAAGCGUUGUUCGGAGUUACUGGGCGUAAAGGGUGUGUAGGCGGUUGUUUAAGUUUGGUGUGAAAUCUCCCGGCUCAACUGGGAGGGUGCGCCGAAUACUGAAUGACUUGGAGUGCGGGAGAGGAAAGUGGAAUUCCUGGUGUAGCGGUGAAAUGCGUAGAUAUCAGGAGGAACACCGGUGGUGUAGACGGCUUUCUGGGCCCUACCUGACGCUGAGACGCGAAAGCGUGGGGAGCGAACCGG